RNAcentral lists this transfer RNA (83 nucleotides) under Promethearchaeota archaeon. RNAcentral's name for it is "Candidatus Lokiarchaeota archaeon (microbial mat metagenome) tRNA-Ser". It matches the Rfam family "tRNA". Rfam says of the family: Transfer RNA (tRNA) molecules are approximately 80 nucleotides in length. Their secondary structure includes four short double-helical elements and three loops (D, anti-codon, and T loops). Further hydrogen bonds mediate the characteristic L-shaped molecular structure. tRNAs have two regions of fundamental functional importance: the anti-codon, which is responsible for specific mRNA codon recognition, and the 3' end, to which the tRNAs corresponding amino acid is attached (by aminoacyl-tRNA synthetases). tRNAs cope with the degeneracy of the genetic code in two manners: having more than one tRNA (with a specific anti-codon) for a particular amino acid; and 'wobble' base-pairing, i.e. permitting non-standard base-pairing at the 3rd anti-codon position. Lineage: Archaea; Promethearchaeati; Promethearchaeota. The record is from RNAcentral.
GCACACGUAUCUUAGCUCGGCAAAGAGGUAGCCUUGAGAGUUACUGUCCCUAGGACUCGGCGGUUCGAAUCCGUCCGUGUGCG